RNAcentral lists this ribosomal RNA (496 nucleotides) under uncultured bacterium. RNAcentral describes it as "partial 16S ribosomal RNA". It matches the Rfam family "Bacterial small subunit ribosomal RNA", at positions 28 to 507 of the family's 1533-position model. The record is from RNAcentral.
GACGAACGCUGGCGGCGUGCCUAAUACAUGCAAGUCGAGCGAACCAAUGGGAGCUUGCUCCCUGAGGUUAGCGGCGGACGGGUGAGUAACACGUGGGUAACCUGCCUGUAAGAUUGGGAUAACUCCGGGAAACCGGAGCUAAUACCGGAUAAUAUUUUGAGCCGCAUGGUUCGAAAUUGAAAGACGGCUUCGGCUGUCACUUACAGAUGGACCCGCGGCGCAUUAGCUAGGUGGUGAGGUAACGGCUCACCAAGGCGACGAUGCGCAGCCGACCUGAGAGGGUGGUAGGCGACACUGGGACUUGGACACGGCCCAGACUCCUACGGGAGGCAGCAGUAGGGAAUCUUCCGCAAAGGACGAAAGUCUGACGGAACAGCGCCGCGUGAACGAUGACGGCCUUCGGGUCGGAAAGUUCUGUUGUUAGGGAAGAACAAGUACCAGAUGAACUGCUGGUAGCUUGACGGUACCUAACAAGAAAGCAACGGCUAACUACGUG